AUGGUCGGCAGGGUUCUCACAUUGCUCAAAGAGGGAAUUCCACCAUCGAACAUCCUUGCUAUGACAUUCACAACUGCUGCUGCCUCAGAAAUGAGGGACCGGAUAGGGGCAGUGGUCGGGAAGGCAGUUGCCAAAGAGAUCAUAAUAAGCACAUUUCACUCCUUCUGCUUGCAGCUUUGCAGGACCCAUGCUGAAAAGCUAGGGCGCACAUCUGAAUUCAUAAUAUAUGGCCAUGGGCAACAGAGGAGGGCCAUUAUUGAGGCAGAACGCCUGUUGGAGCAUGGCAAAAGUGAUGGUUUAGGAGAUGCAGUUAAGCAGUAUGAUGGAGAUAUUAAACAUUCUUUUAAAGACAAAGCUAAGAAGUGGUUGAAGUUUGUUACACAGGCGAAAUCUUCAGGACAAACUCCUGAAGAAUAUGAAAAGAAGGGCGAUUUGACAGGAGCUUCGAUUCUUCGGCACUAUAAUGAAAUACUAGUGUCUUGUAAUGCUCUUGAUUAUCAUGAUUUUAUCAACUCAUCCAUAACGCUUCUCACGAAGUUUCCUGAAGUAUACAAAGAGUGCCAGAACACAUGGCAGGCAAUAGUAGUUGAUGAGUUUCAGGAUACCAGUGCUAUGCAAUAUUUUCUUCUGAAGCUUCUAGCUUCUCACAAUCAUAUAACCAUAGUUGGUGAUGAUGAUCAGUCCAUCUUCAGUUUCAAUGGUGCGGAUGUUUCUGGCUUUGAUUCAUUCCGUAGAGACUUUCCAAAUCAUAAAGAGAUCAGGUUGAACAAGAACUACCGCUCAACACGGGCAAUUGUCGAAGCAGCCACAGCUCUUAUUCACAACAACACUAAACGGUGUAAUCAUAAACUUGCUGAGACAGACAACCCUUCUGGAAGUAAGAUCACUGUUAAGGAGUGCCAUAGCGAAGAUUCACAAUGUGCAUUUGUCAUUGACAAAAUCAUUGAAACUACAUCUAGUUCAGCUGAAGGCCACGACUUUGGUAAAAUUGCUGUCCUAUAUUGA
This 1005-nucleotide ribosomal RNA is filed under the name Triticum aestivum (bread wheat). Its description in RNAcentral is "partial small subunit ribosomal RNA". Lineage: Eukaryota; Viridiplantae; Streptophyta; Magnoliopsida; Poales; Poaceae. The record is from RNAcentral.